GGGGGCGAUACGGUUUCGACGGGGAUACGGAGAUUCGUGUGGCGUGUCGGGGGCGGUUCGGUAACCUCGUUAAAACUGCUGAAUACUUACAAUUGCCAACGAUAAUGUUGAGCUCGCUCUCGCUGCCUAAUCGCACGUGAGCACAAGAACCCUCGGGUUCCGUCUUUAUGGGUCACGCCUGAUGAUUCAUACUGGCGUCAAGUUUCAGGCUGGUCGAGUGGGCACCAUGGUCGAGGGCGCCCGCAAGACGAGAUUAAAUCACGACCUCUCUAGUGACGCCCGCCUUCGGGCACGCGCUAGAGUACACAAACGAAGGCUACACACGUAGAAGGGCGAAAUCGAAGAUUUUCGGACGCGGGUUCGACUCCCGCCGCCUCCAUC
RNAcentral lists this transfer-messenger RNA (381 nucleotides) under human gut metagenome. It matches the Rfam family "transfer-messenger RNA". Rfam says of the family: Bacterial tmRNA, also known as 10Sa RNA or SsrA, is named for its dual tRNA and mRNA-like properties. Its role is to liberate the mRNA from a stalled ribosome. The record is from RNAcentral.